RNAcentral lists this RNase P RNA (172 nucleotides) under Thermoanaerobaculia bacterium. RNAcentral's name for it is "partial RNase P RNA component class A". It matches the Rfam family "Bacterial RNase P class A", at positions 1 to 187 of the family's 367-position model. From Rfam's summary of the family: Ribonuclease P (RNase P) is a ubiquitous endoribonuclease, found in archaea, bacteria and eukarya as well as chloroplasts and mitochondria. Its best characterised activity is the generation of mature 5'-ends of tRNAs by cleaving the 5'-leader elements of precursor-tRNAs. Lineage: Bacteria; Pseudomonadati; Acidobacteriota; Thermoanaerobaculia. The record is from RNAcentral.
GGAGCGGAUCGGGGGAUCGCCGUGCCGCAAGGUACGGAGGAAAGUCCGAACUCCCACGGGCAGCAGGCUGGAUAACGUCCAGGCGUGGCGACACGACGGAAAGUGCAACAGAAAGAUACCGCCGUGCAAACGGUAAGGGUGAAAUGGUGCGGUAAGAGCGCACCAUUUCACC